CAUUAAAAGCGCCAGAACUCAGAGAGAAGAGUUGACGAGGAUAGGGAGUAUCGAAAUUAUUCGGCGGAUGCCCUACGGUAUAAACACUAUCGUAAGAAAUUGAUUAAAGCUAAAAAGUGAUUUUUAGUACAAAGUUGAUUUU
RNAcentral lists this non-coding RNA (142 nucleotides) under Clostridium massiliamazoniense. RNAcentral describes it as "glmS glucosamine-6-phosphate activated ribozyme". It matches the Rfam family "glmS glucosamine-6-phosphate activated ribozyme aptamer". Rfam says of the family: This entry contains a glucosamine-6-phosphate activated ribozyme that is found in the mRNA for GlmS. GlmS is an enzyme that uses fructose-6-phosphate and glutamine to generate glucosamine-6-phosphate. The record is from RNAcentral. Lineage: Bacteria; Bacillati; Bacillota; Clostridia; Eubacteriales; Clostridiaceae.